RNAcentral lists this small RNA (571 nucleotides) under Pongo abelii (Sumatran orangutan). RNAcentral's name for it is "processed transcript". The record is from RNAcentral. Lineage: Eukaryota; Metazoa; Chordata; Mammalia; Primates; Hominidae.
ACCGCCCUCGCCGUCGCCUGCGGGCUUUCUCCGGUCGCUGCUGCCACCACCGUUGCUUCGCGGGCUGGGAGGCCCGGGGUCCCCGGGCGAACAGAGGCUGCGGUGGACUGACGCCGCAGGGGCGAGCUAGCCGGCUCCGCGCCUCUCCGCGGGAUCCAGACGCCUCCUGGGGCUGCCGGCGGAGGGUCUGAGGCGGCGCGGCCAUGGCUCACCUCCGGGGAUUUGCCAACCAGGUCCCUUCCUCCCCAGCCAGGGCAGCCUCUGCCUGUCCCCCGCCUCUCGUGACCGGCACUGUCUGCCUUCUGUCUCCCCCGGCCCCACAGCACUCUCGAGUGGACCCUGAAGAGCUCUUCACCAAGCUUGACCGCAUUGGCAAGGGCUCCUUUGGGGAAGUCUACAAGGGCAUUGAUAACCACACGAAGGAGGUGGUGGCCAUCAAGAUCAUCGACCUGGAGGAGGCCGAGGAUGAGAUCGAGGACAUCCAGCAGGAGAUCACCGUCCUCAGCCAGUGCGACAGCCCCUACAUCACCCGCUACUUUGGCUCCUACCUAAAGAGCACCAAGCUGUGGAU